RNAcentral lists this ribosomal RNA (253 nucleotides) under uncultured bacterium. Its description in RNAcentral is "partial 16S ribosomal RNA". It matches the Rfam family "Bacterial small subunit ribosomal RNA", at positions 524 to 776 of the family's 1533-position model. The record is from RNAcentral.
UACGGGGGGUGCGAGCGUUGUCCGGAAUCACUGGGCGUAAAGGGCGCGUAGGUGGCCUGAUAAGGGUGUGGUGAAAGUCCGGGGCUCAACCCCGGAUCUGCCGUGCCGACUGUUAGGCUAGAGUACUGUAGGGGCAGGCGGAAUUCCGGGUGUAGCGGUGGAAUGCGUAGAGAUCCGGAGGAAGACCGGUGGCGAAGGCGGCCUGCUGGGCAGUUACUGACGCUGAGGAGCGAAAGCGUGGGGAGCGAACAGG